GACGAACGCUGGCGGCGUGCUUAACACAUGCAAGUCGAACGGAAAGGCCCUGCUUUUGUGGGGUGCUCGAGUGGCGAACGGGUGAGUAACACGUGAGUAACCUGCCCUUGACUUUGGGAUAACUUCAGGAAACUGGGGCUAAUACCGGAUAGGAGCUCCUGCUGCAUGGUGGGGGUUGGAAAGUUUCGGCGGUUGGGGAUGGACUCGCGGCUUAUCAGCUUGUUGGUGGGGUAGUGGCUUACCAAGGCUUUGACGGGUAGCCGGCCUGAGAGGGUGACCGGCCACAUUGGGACUGAGAUACGGCCCAGACUCCUACUGGAGGCAGCAGUGGGGAAUAUUGCACAAUGGGCGGAAGCCUGAUGCAGCAACUCCGCGUGCGGGAUGACUGCCUUCGGGUUGUAAACCGCUUUCGCCUGUGACGAAGCGUGAGUGACGGUAAUGGGUAAAGAAGCACCGGCUAACUACGUG
Molecule: ribosomal RNA, 468 nt
Filed under: uncultured bacterium
Lineage: Bacteria
Description: partial 16S ribosomal RNA
Rfam family: Bacterial small subunit ribosomal RNA
Source: RNAcentral